Marasmius fiardii PR-910 is the source of this 99-nucleotide non-coding RNA. The record is from the annotation of a GenBank genome assembly. NCBI's taxonomy places the organism in Eukaryota, Fungi, Basidiomycota, Agaricomycetes, Agaricales, Marasmiaceae.
GCCGCUGUGGCGCAAUGGUUAGCGCGUCGCUUUCCUAUUGAUCGAGGUGAAAAUGCCACAGAAAGGCGAAGGUUGCGAGUUCGAGUCUCGUCUGCGGUU